Helianthus annuus (common sunflower) is the source of this 236-nucleotide long non-coding RNA. RefSeq lists it as uncharacterized. The transcript is spliced from 3 exons. Lineage: Eukaryota; Viridiplantae; Streptophyta; Magnoliopsida; Asterales; Asteraceae. The record is from RefSeq and is a predicted model, not a curated record.
AAUCAAGAUCUAGUAAUGGUUUAGCCUUUUGAUCUGAACAAAACAUAUCCAUAAAGAUAUUCAAUUGACAAGCUGGAUGGAUGCGGGGAUAUUGAACAAGUCAAAUCUUUUGGGAAAGAAGUUUUCAUUCGUUUAUAACAUGUGUUAGUGGUUCAUGCUGUAACAGAUCCAUAAAGAAGUUUUCAUGCUGUAACAAGUUUUCGUUCAUGCUGUAACAGAACAGCAUGAUGUAACCA